GCGGAGGUUGCCAAGCCUGGUUAAAGGCGCAGGGUUCAGAAUCUCGUAGGAGUUCGCGAGUUCAAAUCUCGCCCUCCGCACCA
RNAcentral lists this transfer RNA (83 nucleotides) under Candidatus Thorarchaeota archaeon. Its description in RNAcentral is "tRNA-Leu". It matches the Rfam family "tRNA". From Rfam's summary of the family: Transfer RNA (tRNA) molecules are approximately 80 nucleotides in length. Their secondary structure includes four short double-helical elements and three loops (D, anti-codon, and T loops). The record is from RNAcentral. Lineage: Archaea; Promethearchaeati; Candidatus Thorarchaeota.